RNAcentral lists this transfer RNA (68 nucleotides) under Marmota monax (woodchuck). RNAcentral describes it as "tRNA.Val". Lineage: Eukaryota; Metazoa; Chordata; Mammalia; Rodentia; Sciuridae. The record is from RNAcentral.
GGAUUGUGGCUCAGUGGUAGAGCGCUUACCUAACAUGUGCGGGGCCCUGUGUUCGAGCCUCAGCACCA